This 1438-nucleotide ribosomal RNA is filed under the name uncultured organism. RNAcentral describes it as "16S ribosomal RNA". It matches the Rfam family "Bacterial small subunit ribosomal RNA". The record is from RNAcentral.
GCUUAACACAUGCAAGUCGAGGGGCAGCAUUUCAGUUUGCUUGCAAACUGGAGAUGGCGACCGGCGCACGGGUGAGUAACACGUAUCCAACCUGCCGAUAACUCGGGGAUAGCCUUUCGAAAGAAAGAUUAAUACCCGAUGGUAUAAUCAGACCGCAUGGUCUUGUUAUUAAAGAAUUUCGGUUAUCGAUGGGGAUGCGUUCCAUUAGGCAGUUGGUGAGGUAACGGCUCACCAAACCUUCGAUGGAUAGGGGUUCUGAGAGGAAGGUCCCCCACAUUGGAACUGAGACACGGUCCAAACUCCUACGGGAGGCAGCAGUGAGGAAUAUUGGUCAAUGGGCGCAGGCCUGAACCAGCCGAGUAGCGUGAAGGAUGACUGCCCUAUGGGUUGUAAACUUCUUUUAUAUGGGAAUAAAGUUUUCCACGUGUGGAAUUUUGUAUGUACCAUAUGAAUAAGGAUCGGCUAACUCCGUGCCAGCAGCCGCGGUAAUACGGAGGAUCCGAGCGUUAUCCGGAUUUAUUGGGUUUAAAGGGAGCGUAGGUGGACAGUUAAGUCAGUUGUGAAAGUUUGCGGCUCAACCGUAAAAUUGCAGUUGAUACUGGCUGUCUUGAGUACAGUAGAGGUGGGCGGAAUUCGUGGUGUAGCGGUGAAAUGCUUAGAUAUCACGAAGAACUCCGAUUGCGAAGGCAGCUCACUGGACUGCAACUGACACUGAUGCUCGAAAGUGUGGGUAUCAAACAGGAUUAGAUACCCUGGUAGUCCACACAGUAAACGAUGAAUACUCGCUGUUUGCGAUAUACAGUAAGCGGCCAAGCGAAAGCAUUAAGUAUUCCACCUGGGGAGUACGCCGGCAACGGUGAAACUCAAAGGAAUUGACGGGGGCCCGCACAAGCGGAGGAACAUGUGGUUUAAUUCGAUGAUACGCGAGGAACCUUACCCGGGCUUAAAUUGCAUUUGAAUAUAUUGGAAACAGUAUAGCCGUAAGGCAAAUGUGAAGGUGCUGCAUGGUUGUCGUCAGCUCGUGCCGUGAGGUGUCGGCUUAAGUGCCAUAACGAGCGCAACCCUUAUCUUUAGUUACUAACAGGUCAUGCUGAGGACUCUAGAGAGACUGCCGUCGUAAGAUGUGAGGAAGGUGGGGAUGACGUCAAAUCAGCACGGCCCUUACGUCCGGGGCUACACACGUGUUACAAUGGGGGGUACAGAAGGCAGCUACCUGGUGACAGGAUGCUAAUCCCAAAAGCCUCUCUCAGUUCGGAUCGAAGUCUGCAACCCGACUUCGUGAAGCUGGAUUCGCUAGUAAUCGCGCAUCAGCCAUGGCGCGGUGAAUACGUUCCCGGGCCUUGUACACACCGCCCGUCAAGCCAUGAAAGCCGGGGGUACCUGAAGUACGUAACCGCAAGGAGCGUCCUAGGGUAAAACUGGUAAUUGGGGCUAAGUC